This 27-nucleotide ribosomal RNA is filed under the name Porodaedalea chrysoloma. RNAcentral's name for it is "partial 28S ribosomal RNA". The record is from RNAcentral. Lineage: Eukaryota; Fungi; Basidiomycota; Agaricomycetes; Hymenochaetales; Hymenochaetaceae.
UUUUGACUAAUUGACCUCAAAUCAGGC